CCUACGGGUGGCAGCAGUGAGGAAUAUUGGUCAAUGGACGCGAGUCUGAACCAGCCAAGUCGCGUGAAGGAUGACUGCCCUAUGGGUUGUAAACCUCUUUUAUCUGGGCAUAACAUGUUCCACGUGUGGGAUUUUGUAUGUACCAUAUGAAAAAGGAUCGGCCAACUCCGUGCCCGCCGCCGCGGUAAUACGGAGGGUCCGGACGGUAUCCGGAUUUAUUGGGUUUAAAGGGUGCGUCGGUGGAGUUUUAAGGCAGUUGUGAAAGUUUGCGGCUCAACCGUAAAAUUGCAGUUGAAACUGGCAGUCUUGAGUACAGUAGAGGUGGGCGGAAUGCGUGGUGUAGCGGUGAAAUGCUUAGAUAUCACGCAGAACGCCGAUUGCGAAGGCAGCUCACCGGACUGCAACUGACACUGAGGCACGAAAGUGUGGGUAUCAAACAGGAUUAGAUACCCGGGUAGUC
Molecule: ribosomal RNA, 460 nt
Filed under: uncultured bacterium
Lineage: Bacteria
Description: partial 16S ribosomal RNA
Rfam family: Bacterial small subunit ribosomal RNA
Source: RNAcentral